This 500-nucleotide ribosomal RNA is filed under the name uncultured bacterium. Its description in RNAcentral is "partial 16S ribosomal RNA". It matches the Rfam family "Bacterial small subunit ribosomal RNA", at positions 30 to 523 of the family's 1533-position model. The record is from RNAcentral.
AUUGAACGCUGGCGGCAUGCCUUACACAUGCAAGUCGAACGGCAGCACGGGAGCAAUCCUGGUGGCGAGUGGCGAACGGGUGAGUAAAGUAUCGGAACGUGCCCAGUCGUGGGGGAUAACGUAGCGAAAGUUACGCUAAUACCGCAUACGAUCUACGGAUGAAAGCGGGGGAUCGCAAGACCUCGCGCGAUCGGAGGGGCCUAGAUCAGAUUAGGUAGUUGGUGGGGUAAAGGCUCACCAAGCCGACGAUCUGUAGCUGGUCUGAGAGGACGACCAGCCACACUGGAACUGAGACACGGCCCAGACUCCUACGGGAGGCAGCAGUGGGGAAUUUUGGACAAUGGGCGAAGGCCUGAUCCAGCCAUGCCGCGUGCAGGAUGAAGGCCUUCGGGUUGUAAACUGCUUUUGUACGGAACGAAAAGGUUUGGCCUAAUAAGCUGAGCUCAUGACGGUACCGUAAGAAUAAGCACUGGCUAACUACGUGCCAGCAGCCGCCGUAA